ACCUAUAAGAGGUCCAGCCUGCCCAGUGACUUUGUUCAACGGCCGCGGUAUCCUAACCGUGCGAAGGUAGCGUAAUCACUUGUUCUUUAAAUGAGGACUAGUAUGAAUGGCAUCACGAAGGUUAUACUGUCUCCUUUCUCUAAUCAGUGAAACUAAUCUUCCCGUGAAGAAGCGGGAAUAGACCUAUAAGACGAGAAGACCCUAUGGAGCUUUAAACAAUAAUAACAAUUGCCCCCGAACACUAUCAAAUUUCAGAAAAACCACUACUAUCCGGGCAAUUUGAUUAUAAGUUUUAGGUUGGGGUGACCACGGAGAAAAAAAUAACCUCCGCAAUGAAUGGGGCUUCCCCCCCUUAGCCAAGGGCUACAACCCUAAGAGUUAAAAAAUUAACAUCUAUUGACCCAAUUUAUUUGAUCAAUGAACCAAGUUACCCUAGGGAUAACAGCGCAAUCCAUUUCAAGAGCUCCUAUCGACAAAUGGGUUUACGACCUCGAUGUUGGAUCAGGGUAUCCCAGUGGUGCAGCAGCUACUAACGGUUCGUUUGUUCAACGAUUAA
Molecule: ribosomal RNA, 556 nt
Filed under: Leptodactylus syphax (burgundy thin-toed frog)
Lineage: Eukaryota; Metazoa; Chordata; Amphibia; Anura; Leptodactylidae
Description: partial 16S ribosomal RNA
Rfam family: Bacterial large subunit ribosomal RNA
Source: RNAcentral